UCCCUGGUGGUUCAGUGGCUACAACUCCACACUCCUAAUGCAGAGGGCUGAGGUUCAAUCCCUGGUCAGGGAA
RNAcentral lists this transfer RNA (73 nucleotides) under Capra hircus (goat). It matches the Rfam family "tRNA". From Rfam's summary of the family: Transfer RNA (tRNA) molecules are approximately 80 nucleotides in length. Their secondary structure includes four short double-helical elements and three loops (D, anti-codon, and T loops). Lineage: Eukaryota; Metazoa; Chordata; Mammalia; Artiodactyla; Bovidae. RNAcentral also lists the same sequence under 1 other name. The record is from Rfam by way of RNAcentral.